UGAGCUAUCGCUGCCUCGUGCCUGUACACCGAACGCUCGGCAUGGCGAUCCGCGUCGGUCGCGCUGGGUGGUAUGGUUCCCCAGAGGCCGGUUCUUGUGCUGCCUACCCCUUGAGGGGAAGAGUUCCAAAUCGGAUGUAAGCCUCCAUCCGGCGCCCUCCAAAGGGCGCGGGAGGACAACGGAGCACCCCCCGCGUUCCACCGAGCCUCCUCGGUCGCGUGGCCCGCGGGGACGUGCGAUGCUCUCGGACCCAGCGAACGCCGUGGGCGAGGACUCACGUCCCGGUCCCAAGUGAAGCAACGGUAUAACGCCGACGGCCGCUCCCGCCCCCCGACCGCCCCGGCGGCGCGGGGCGAAGGCGCGGCGUCGCUGAGGAAUGCUACCU
This 385-nucleotide unclassified non-coding RNA is filed under the name Acacia covenyi. RNAcentral's name for it is "partial external transcribed spacer". Lineage: Eukaryota; Viridiplantae; Streptophyta; Magnoliopsida; Fabales; Fabaceae. The record is from RNAcentral.